This 449-nucleotide ribosomal RNA is filed under the name uncultured bacterium. RNAcentral describes it as "partial 16S ribosomal RNA". It matches the Rfam family "Bacterial small subunit ribosomal RNA", at positions 39 to 523 of the family's 1533-position model. The record is from RNAcentral.
GCGGCAGGCCUAACACAUGCAAGUCGAGCGAGAAAGUGGUUUCGGCCAUUAGUAAAGCGGCAAACGGGUGAGUAACGCGUGGGAAUUUUCCUUCUAGUCUGAGAUAGCCCCGGGAAACUGGGAUUAAUACCGGAUAUUAUCUACGGAUGAAAGAUUUAUCGCUAGAAGAUAAACCCGCGUGAGAUUAGCUAGUUGGUGAGGUAAUGGCUCACCAAGGCAACGAUCUCUAGUUGGUCUGAGAGGAUGAUCAACCACACUGGACCUGAUACACGGUCCAGACUCCUACGGGAGGCAGCAGUGAGGAAUAUUGGACAAUGGACGAAAGUCUGAUCCAGCCAUGCCGCGUGAGUGAUGAAGGCCUUCGGGUUGUAAAACUCUUUAAGUGGGGAAAAUAAUGAUUGCACCCACAGAAUAAGCCACGGCAAACUUCGUGCCAGCCGCCGCGGUAA